RNAcentral lists this ribosomal RNA (253 nucleotides) under uncultured bacterium. RNAcentral describes it as "partial 16S ribosomal RNA". It matches the Rfam family "Bacterial small subunit ribosomal RNA", at positions 524 to 776 of the family's 1533-position model. The record is from RNAcentral.
UACGUAGGGUGCAAGCGUUAAUCGGAAUUACUGGGCGUAAAGCGUGCGCAGGCGGUUUUGUAAGACCGAUGUGAAAUCCCCGGGCUUAACCUGGGAACUGCAUUGGUGACUGCAAGGCUUGAGUGUGGCAGAGGAGACUAGAAUUCCUGGUGUAGCAGUGAAAUGCGUAGAUAUCAGGAGGAAUACCGAUGGCGAAGGCAGGUCGCUGGGCUGACACUGACGCUCAUGCACGAAAGCGUGGGGAGCAAACAGG